GUGCUCACUUCUGCAGCACAUUACUGGAAUUGCAAUGAUACAGAAAAAAUUAGAAUGGUCCCUGUGAAGGAUGACAUGCAUAUUCAUGUAGCGUUCCAUACUUUU
Erinaceus europaeus (western European hedgehog) is the source of this 105-nucleotide non-coding RNA. Lineage: Eukaryota; Metazoa; Chordata; Mammalia; Eulipotyphla; Erinaceidae. The record is from Rfam.